GAUGAACGCUGGCGGCGUGCCUAAUACAUGCAAGUCGAGCGAACAGACGAGGAGCUUGCUCCUCUGACGUUAGCGGCGGACGGGUGAGUAACACGUGGAUAACCUACCUAUAAGACUGGGAUAACUUCGGGAAACCGGAGCUAAUACCGGAUAAUAUAUUGAACCGCAUGGUUCAAUAGUGAAAGACGGUUUUGCUGUCACUAAUAGAUGGAUCCGCGCCGCAUUAGCUAGUUGGUAAGGUAACGGCUUACCAAGGCUACGAUGCGUAGCCGACCUGAGAGGGUGAUCGGCCACACUGGAACUGAGACACGGUCCAGACUCCUACGGGAGGCAGCAGUAGGGAAUCUUCCGCAAUGGGCGAAAGCUUGACGGAGCAACGCCGCGUGAGUGAUGAAGGUCUUCGGAUCGUAAAACUCUGUUAUUAGGGAAGAACCAAUGUGUAAGUAACUAUGCACGUCUUGACGGUACCUGAUCAGAAAGCCACGGCUAACUACGUG
Molecule: ribosomal RNA, 497 nt
Filed under: uncultured bacterium
Lineage: Bacteria
Description: partial 16S ribosomal RNA
Rfam family: Bacterial small subunit ribosomal RNA
Source: RNAcentral